RNAcentral lists this ribosomal RNA (433 nucleotides) under uncultured bacterium. RNAcentral's name for it is "partial 16S ribosomal RNA". It matches the Rfam family "Bacterial small subunit ribosomal RNA", at positions 29 to 507 of the family's 1533-position model. The record is from RNAcentral.
AACGAACGCUGGCGGCAUGCCUAACACAUGCAAGUCGAACGAGACCUUCGGGUCUAGUGGCGCACGGGUGCGUAACGCGUGGCAAACUGCCUUUAAGUUCGGAAUAACCCAGCGACAUACGCGCUAAUACCGGAUGAUGUCUUCGGUCAAAAGCUUGAUCGCCUUUAGAUGGGCCUGCGUUGGAUUAGCUAGUUGGUGGGGUAAAGGCCUACCAAGGCGACGAUCAAUAGCUGGUCUGAGAGGAUGAUCAGCCACACUGGGACUGAGACACGGCCCAGACUCCUACGGGAGGCAGCAGUGGGGAAUAUGGGACAAUGGGCGAGAGUCUGAUCCAGCAAUGCCGCGUGAGUGAUGAAGGCCUUAGGGUUGUAAAGCUCUUUUACCCGAGAUGAUAAUGACAGUAUCGGGAGAAUAAGCUCCGGCUAACUCCGUG